CUAUAAUUGUCAGCUAAGUGGCGCACGGGUGAGUAAUGUAUAGAUAACCUGCCCUUAAGAAAGGAAUAACAGUUGGAAACGACUGCUAAUGCCCUAUAUGCCUUUAAUACAUAAGUAUGCAAGGGAAACGCUUUAGUGCUUAAGGAUGGGUCUGUAUGGUAUCAGCUUGUUGGUGAGGUAAUGGCUCACCAAGGCUAUGACGCCUAACUGGUUUGAGAGGAUGAUCAGUCACACUGGAACUGAGACACGGUCCAGACUCCUACGGGAGGCAGCAGUGGGGAAUAUUGCACAAUGGACGAAAGUCUGAUGCAGCAACGCCGCGUGGAGGAUGACACGUUUCGGUGCGUAAACUCCUUUUAUAUAGGAAGAUAAUGACGGUACUAUAUGAAUAAGCACCGGCUAACUCCGUGCCAGCAGCCGCGGUAAUACGGAGGGUGCAAGCGUUACUCGGAAUCACUGGGCGUAAAGAGCGUGUAGGCGGGUAUAUAAGUCAGAAGUGAAAUCCAAUAGCUCAACUAUUGAACUGCUUUUGAAACUGUAUACCUAGAAUGUGGGAGAGGUAGAUGGAAUUUCUGGUGUAGGGGUAAAAUCCGUAGAGAUCAGAAGGAAUACCGAUUGCGAAGGCGAUCUACUGGAACAUUAUUGACGCUGAGACGCGAAAGCGUGGGGAGCAAACAGGAUUAGAUACCCUGGUAGUCCACGCCCUAAACGAUGUACACUAGUUGUUGUGAGGCUCGACCUUGCAGUAAUGCAGUUAACACAUUAAGUGUACCGCCUGGGGAGUACGGUCGCAAGAUUAA
This 800-nucleotide ribosomal RNA is filed under the name uncultured bacterium. RNAcentral describes it as "bacterial SSU rRNA". It matches the Rfam family "Bacterial small subunit ribosomal RNA", at positions 78 to 897 of the family's 1533-position model. The record is from RNAcentral.